Molecule: long non-coding RNA, 1804 nt
Organism: Spinacia oleracea (spinach)
Lineage: Eukaryota; Viridiplantae; Streptophyta; Magnoliopsida; Caryophyllales; Amaranthaceae
Exons: 3
Source: RefSeq, a predicted model, not a curated record
CAUUCAUUUGCGGACACGUUCAAUACAAGUACAAUUCUUAACCCUCUCUACUUUCUCUCUCUAGAACAUUAUCUCAUUCGCUGACUUAGGCAUCGGAGGGGGUUUCCUCGGUUAAACCCCCGAGGUUAGCUUACGUUCGUUCUGUCUGACAGGGCAGCAUCACCAGGCAGGGCUCCCCCAGUUCCACACCCGGAACAGUCUUCUUUUCCGGGCCUUGUAAUCAUGUUUGGUUUAUUCAUCCUUAAUGAAGAUGCAGUUCUGAUCAGUUAUGACUUAUGAUCAGUUUGGUUCUGAUCAGUUAAGUUCUGAUCAGAUUAGAGCAUAUUUAUUUAACGUAUCUUAAUUUGGCUGCUCAUUUUUUCAUUCAUAUGCAAAGUUUCCUUCAUUAUUUGGCACCUUAUAUAUUGGGUUGAUAGGUAAAGUUCUAUAAAAUUGAAAUUUGAUGACAGAAAAAUUUAGCUGACUUACAUGUACUAUGGAUAUUUCUAGUAUUUCAACUUACUAACCCUACGAAUGAUCUCCCAUCUGCCAUUACCCUAGUUUGUCACGUUAUAAGCAGGGCCUUGAAUCCUCUGCUAUUUACGAUGUAUUUGACCUCCCCCCGUUCUUUACGAUGUAUUUGACAUUCAGGUUUUUGUAAAUCAACAUCUUAUAUUAAUGAAAAAUUUUCCUUCUUUAUUUUUUUUAACUUCCAGUGUUAGUAAUGUAAACCUAUUAGCAGUGUAGAACUUUGUGAAUAUUCUAACUUGUUUAUGCAAGUCUGAAGCUGCUGUGUUACGUGAGAAAAUAUGCAUGUUGCUGAUAAGCCUUUGUGUUUUUUAAGCUUUUACAUUGCUGUAUGAAAUGUGAUUAAUUUAUCUUUUUCCUUAACUGAUUAGGAAGUUUCCACCCAAAGGAUUUUUCAAAGUCAGAGGUUUGCCUAUAUUCUUAAUUUUCAGUUCUUCUGUAACAUAAACACCUGCAGAAUGUACAGCUAAAAGAUGGCUCUCACAUAUUUUAGCUUUGUUACUUCAGACAGGGCAGAGGAACUAGCACCCUGCUUGAUGAUAAGAAAUACGUUUUAUCAGAACAAUGUGAUCCAAGUGCUAUAAAGGUCUCUCAAAUCUGUUGGUUAUUCAUAUGGAACACAAAAACCUUUGCUUGCAAGGACAGCUGAAUGCUGAUGUUCAAUUGUGGAUCUUUUAUUCUUUUAGAAAUUAAACCUUCUAUAUGUUUGUUGAUUGUCCAUCCUCUUGAUAUAUACAGGAGCAUUUACUGAAGCUUGGCGCAGAACAUCGAGCAAAAGUGGCUGAAAAAAGAGGGAAGCCCCCCUUCUUCUAGGAAAGAUUACUUGGAGAUAGGUAAUGCUUAUGGUGUACUACGUGGAGGUGCUUAUUCCAAUGAUGUACUACCAAGAACAUCAGGUCUUGGUGGUGGAGAAGUAAGCAAUAAAAAUUCUGAUUUGGCUGGAGAAUCACAUCAGAAACAUGGGGUAAAAGAGUUGCCGGAGUACCUUAAGCAGUAGCUGGGAGCAAGAGGAAUUUUCAACAAUGAGCCUACAAAAGAUGAUUUUGCUGCAAACGAUUCUGUAAGUUUCAGCGCUUGUUGUCUGUUACUAGCAGAGAAGAGGUCAGAGUUGGUUAAUGUUGAACCUCAGAGUAGUGUAAUAGGAUUUUAGUUCCCUAAAAAUACUAAUACUAAGGUCUUUGUUUUCAUUAAAUAAUCAUAAUCAGUAAAAGUAUGUUUCAAUCUGUAAACGUAGUUCCAAUCCAUCAAAAUUAAAUUUUAAUAUGUAUGUUGGACAGCCUGACAUAGUUGCACCAGA